UUCUGAAAAGGGGUCGCCGCUCAGGAAUGCAAGGCCCAGAUGAUACAAAUGGUGAGAUGACACCUGAAUGGGUGGACUUUAACCCUCCCCCUCCAACGGGGUGCUGCAUAAACAAUGUGGCUCUCGGGAAUAAAGAGGUGCUGCGGAGCUUUAGGAGGAGAAUGAAACCAGGAGGCCUGAGACGAGGCGUCCACUCUGGGUUACACCCACUCUGCCACGCGGACGCCACGGAAUCACACAGCCUCGGCUUUAGACCACGCGAGCGUUUAAGCAUCCGUGGCCGGGGUUUCCCGCUCCCCUGCCAAACAUGCUGUGGUGGUGUGUGUGUGCUCAGAGAGGGUGAGCCUCCAGAAACGCUGCACCGAUUCACGCUCCGACAACAGCGCAGGGCAGUCCCUAUUUCUGCUCACGACGCCCCGAUGGGCACAGCUCUGUGGGCCCAGUACCUGCCGGGCCGCUACCAUCACUCACGGGCCGCGAACGCAGGUCACCUCGGACCACAGCCCACUGCUGGGUACCAAGGGGGACUGCAAGGGAAAAUCCAUCCAAAGCCUUUUCUUCUUCUGCACCUGGCGGACAGCAGACGCACGGCAUAUAUAACACCAGGCCCAAGAGGUAUAAUUUAUGGAAAAGUAAAACUUACAAAACUGCAUAUAAAACUUAUUAAAAUGAGAAGAUAUUCUCAUGGAUGGGUCAAUUGUUUAAAAAAGGAAAAGAAAAUCUCCAGUCACCAAGGAUCUUAAGAGAAAGACACUGAUGUGAAAAAAAACGACAUUUUCUUUUGUUUACACUAUGUGUGAUCUUGUACAAAUAUCACUUCCCAUGUGGCUGUCUGAAGGAUCUUACCACGACGAAUACACAGGAAGUCUAAUAAUAAGCAAAGUGAACAAUUUGACUGUUUAAAACUUUAGUGGAAGAAGAUGUAAACCCACAUGCAGGAAAGCUAAAUAAGAGUAACAAGUUGGCUGAGAAGGUCACUUGGAUGGUCUCUGGGAAAUACUCUAUCCAAGGACAUGAGUAUGGCAAAUGAUAUAUAUAAUACAUAUGGAAUUAAUCACUUAACCCACAUCUAUUAUUGGGUGGGCCAAAAAGUUUGCUUGGGUUUUUCCAUAGGAUAUAAUGGGAGGGAGGGGACAUAGGAAUACCUAUGGCUGAACCAAGCUGAUGUAUGGCAGAAACCGACACAACUUUGUAAUUAUCCUUCAAUUAAAAAUAAAUAAAGGAAGAAAAAAAG
RNAcentral lists this long non-coding RNA (1234 nucleotides) under Capra hircus (goat). RNAcentral's name for it is "lncRNA (ENSCHIG00000005267.1)". Lineage: Eukaryota; Metazoa; Chordata; Mammalia; Artiodactyla; Bovidae. The record is from RNAcentral.